CUGGUCCGCAUGAAGCAGACUUCGUUAAUAGGAAAUCAUUACACAGCAUCAAUGUACAGAUGAUUUGUGAUGCAGAUUGCAUCAUCACAAAUGUAGAGGCAAAAUGGCCUGGCUCAGUGCAUGAUUCCAGAAUCUUUCGGGCCUCUUCUCUUUCCCACCAACUGGCACAAGGUCAAUUCUCAGGAGUUUUGCUGGGAGACAAGGGAUAUGCAUGCCUGCCUUAUCUCUUGACUCCCUAUCAGGAGACGCAGACUGAGGCACAGCACAACUACAAUAUUGCCCAUGCACGCACAAGAGCUCGUAUAGAGAUGGCAUUUGGGCUCAUCAAGUCAAGGUUCCAGUGCCUGAAUUACCUCAGAGUGAUUCCACAAAGGGCAUGUGACAUUGUAGUUGCAUGUG
Long non-coding RNA from Xyrauchen texanus (razorback sucker), 399 nucleotides. RefSeq lists it as uncharacterized. NCBI's taxonomy places the organism in Eukaryota, Metazoa, Chordata, Actinopteri, Cypriniformes, Catostomidae. The transcript is spliced from 3 exons. The record is from RefSeq and is a predicted model, not a curated record.